CUUUUGUUAGUUCUAAAAAUACUAGUGAAUAAGGGGUGGGCAAGUUCUGGUGUCAGCCGCCGCGGUAAAACCAGCACCUCAAGUGGUCAGGAGGAUUAUUGGGCCUAAAGCAUCCGUAGCCUGUUCUAUAAGUUUGCGGUUAAAUCUAUACGCUCAACGUAUAGGCUGCUGUAAAUACUGUAGAACUAGGGAGUGGGAGAGGUAGACGGUACUCGGUAGGAAGGGGUAAAAUCCUUUGAUCUAUUGAUGACCACCUGUGGCGAAGGCGGUCUACCAGAACACGUUCGACGGUGAGGGAUGAAAGCUGGGGGAGCAAACCGGAUUAGAUACCCGGGUAGUCCCAGCUGUAAACGAUGCAGACUCGAUGAUGCAAUGGCAUAGAGCUAUUGCAGUAUCGCAGGGAAGCCGUUAAGUCUGCCGCCUGGGAAGUACGUACGCAAGUAUGAAACUUAAAGGAA
Molecule: ribosomal RNA, 458 nt
Filed under: uncultured crenarchaeote
Lineage: Archaea; Thermoproteati; Thermoproteota
Description: bacterial SSU rRNA
Rfam family: Archaeal small subunit ribosomal RNA
Source: RNAcentral